GACGAACGCUGGCGGCGUGCUUAACACAUGCAAGUCGAGCGGUAAGGCCCUUUCGGGGGUACACGAGCGGCGAACGGGUGAGUAACACGUGGGUGACCUGCCCUCAGCUCUGGGAUAAGCCUGGGAAACCGGGUCUAAUACUGGAUAUGACUCCAUGACGCAUGUUGUGGGGUGGAAAGCCUUGUGCGGCUGAGGAUGGGCCCGCGGCCUAUCAGCUUGUUGGUGGGGGAUGGCCUACCAAGGCGACGACGGGUAGCCGGCCUGAGAGGGCGACCGGCCACACUGGGACUGAGACACGGCCCAGACUCCUACGGGAGGCAGCAGUGGGGAAUCUUGCGCAAUGGGCGAAAGCCUGACGCAGCGACGCCGC
This 370-nucleotide ribosomal RNA is filed under the name uncultured bacterium. RNAcentral describes it as "bacterial SSU rRNA". It matches the Rfam family "Bacterial small subunit ribosomal RNA", at positions 28 to 400 of the family's 1533-position model. The record is from RNAcentral.